RNAcentral lists this small nuclear RNA (128 nucleotides) under Octodon degus (degu). RNAcentral describes it as "U4 spliceosomal RNA (ENSODEG00000022933.1)". It matches the Rfam family "U4 spliceosomal RNA". From Rfam's summary of the family: U4 small nuclear RNA (U4 snRNA) is a component of the major U2-dependent spliceosome. Lineage: Eukaryota; Metazoa; Chordata; Mammalia; Rodentia; Octodontidae. The record is from Rfam by way of RNAcentral.
AGCUUCGUGCAGUGACAGUAUUAUAGCCAAUGAGAAUUUUCCAAGGCAUGAUUAUUACUAAUUAAAAGCUUUUGUUAAUACCCCAUUAGAUGUUUCCUAGGAUUUCACAUUUUUAGAUGCCAUUUUGG